Alligator mississippiensis (American alligator) is the source of this 1060-nucleotide long non-coding RNA. RefSeq lists it as uncharacterized. The record is from RefSeq and is a predicted model, not a curated record. The transcript is spliced from 2 exons. Lineage: Eukaryota; Metazoa; Chordata; Crocodylia; Alligatoridae.
CACAUCUGGAACAGAGGAAAGGGAGAUUAUUAUACAGGCAGGAGAGGAGCCUCCACUCCUACGCUUAUAGGGAGAACAGCUAAUUCCUCAAGACGGAGCUUACACUUAAUGCUCAGCUGCAGUGGGAUGAUUGAAGGAAGGCUGCAGGUCAGGUUUUGCCCCCAAAGUGCAGCAAGAAUGGAAUAACGUCCUCUUUCACCUGGCCUGUGUAACCUGAGCCCCGGCCCAGAAGGAUGCCUACAAGUGGAUGAGGGGCUUCCCCAAAGGACGGUUGUUUUUUGGAUCCUUAGAGCCCCACUCUCCUGACAGGGGAAAAAGCACGCAGCCAUCUUUAGGGAGCAAACAACAUGACUCACGGGCAGCUGACAACAGGAAAACAUAAAGCCUGGAGGGAGGAAUGUUUCCAGUGGGAACCCAGUUAUCAGGGGAAGCAGCUGAACGGUGGUGGCAGCAGUUGCCAUCACAUGACCUUUGCGGGUGCAGACGUGGUGGUAGGCUUUGCUGAACGCAUGGGAAACGCCCUGUGGGAGCAGAACCCUUGGCAUGAGAAGGAAUGAUUACAAUACGAUCAAGCUGGGGACAGUGCCACAGUGGCAAGAGGAAGCACAAACUCGGUAGCACGAACAAAACACCGUGCGGCAGGGACAAGCUCGGAGUACAGGGCAGCCCCCGAGCCCCACUGUCACACGGGACUGCAGGCUUCCUGGCCAAGCUCCUGAUGAAAUGGGAGGCGAGCUCCAAAAGAAAGUGUUAGCUUGCUCUGCUCCCUGCUGGCCGAAUCACCAACUACAGGGACUGGUUCUAGGAGGAGCUGCAUCCCGGCCAGGUAAAAUGACCCCCCGCAGCCAAUAACUUUGGAGCAGGUACAACUCUGUACUUGCCUCAGCAGGCAGGCCUAAUGGGGAGGAAGCCACCUAGAUAACUGCUGAUAAGGGGAUUGCUGUUGGCAUUGUUCAAGCCAUUUGCACAUCCCAUAGCGUGCUGCGGGUCUACAGGCAGCCACACUGUUGGUCUAAUCAAAAUCUUGUUGGUCUAAUAAAAGAUAUCAUCUCUACUACGA